AUGCAAGUCGAGGGGUAUAGUAGCAAUACUAGAGACCGGCGCACGGGUGCGUAACGCGUAUGCAACCUACCUUUUACAGAGGGAUAGCCCAGAGAAAUUUGGAUUAAUACCUCAUGGUAUAAUUGAAUCGCAUGGUUUAAUUAUUAAAGUUCCAACGGUAAAAGAUGGGCAUGCGUCCUAUUAGCUAGAUGGUAAGGUAACGGCUUACCAUGGCUACGAUAGGUAGGGGUCCUGAGAGGGAGAUCCCCCACACUGGUACUGAGACACGGACCAGACUCCUACGGGAGGCAGCAGUGAGGAAUAUUGGACAAUGGGCGCAAGCCUGAUCCAGCCAUGCCGCGUGCAGGAAGACGCAUCUAUGGUGUGUAAACUGCUUUUGUACGGGAAGAAACACUCCCUCGUGAGGGAGCUUGACGGUACCGUAAGAAUAAGGAUCGGCUAACUCCGUGCCAGCAGCCGCGGUAAUACGGAGGAUCCAAGCGUUAUCCAGAAUCAUUGGGUUUAAAGGGUCCGUAGGCGGUUUGGUAAGUCGGUGGUGAAAGCCCAUCGCUUAACGAUGGAACGGCCAUUGAUACUGCCAGACUUGAAUUACUAGGAAGUAACUAGAAUAUGUAGUGUAGCGGUGAAAUGCUUAGAUAUUACAUGGAAUACCAAUUGCGAAGGCAGGUUACUACUAGUGGAUUGACGCUGAUGGACGAAAGCGUGGGUAGCGAACAGGAUUAGAUACCCUGGUAGUCCACGCCGUAAACGAUGGAUACUAGCUGUUCGGGGCAACCUGAGUGGCUAAGCGAAAGUGAUAAGUAUCCCACCUGGGGAGUACGUUCGCAAGAAUGAAACUCAAAGGAAUUGACGGGGGCCCGCACAAGCGGUGGAGCAUGUGGUUUAUUCGAUGAUACGCGAGGAC
This 904-nucleotide ribosomal RNA is filed under the name uncultured Flavobacteriaceae bacterium. RNAcentral describes it as "bacterial SSU rRNA". It matches the Rfam family "Bacterial small subunit ribosomal RNA", at positions 55 to 968 of the family's 1533-position model. The record is from RNAcentral. Lineage: Bacteria; Pseudomonadati; Bacteroidota; Flavobacteriia; Flavobacteriales; Flavobacteriaceae.